This is a long non-coding RNA of Oncorhynchus tshawytscha (Chinook salmon), 1936 nucleotides long. Lineage: Eukaryota; Metazoa; Chordata; Actinopteri; Salmoniformes; Salmonidae. The record is from Ensembl.
AGCAGAUCAGCUCACAGAGCAACAAAUGUGGCCCACACCCAUUCAAGGGAGAGAGAGAGAAAAAAAAACACAUUGCGCAUAGGUCUCCAACUUAACACUCCUGUCAACUUAACAUCAUAACAGUUGCACAAAUUCAUCACGGAAAGGGAGUUGAAAGAAAACGUAUUGCUUGACUUGGACUUGUAUUGACUGUUCAUCAUGGAGGCACCAACAACAGCAGGUACAAUAAGCCACUCGGCAUCGGAAGAGGCCUUCAGCCACAUGGUCAGUCACAUCAUAGAACUCUUCACACAGCCCUCCGUAGCUGAAGAUCUGACAACAACUUCUGCACAUAUGACUGAAACAAUCUCAGACACUUCUGUGGGAGUUCUGAGAACAACUUCUGCACAAAUGAUUGAAACAAUCUCAGACACUUCUGUGGUGGGAGCCGCCAUCGUAAAAGGUGUAUCCUUUGAAGUCCUUUUCGUAGGAGUCAUUCUUGUGGUGGUACUGGUGGUGGUACUGGUACUGGUGCUGGUACUGUGUCACAACGGCAAGCAUAAGGGCACUUACCACACCAACGAGGCCGAGUGUGGUGAUUCUGAUUCUGUCGACACGUAUGGUGUUGCCUCUCAAAGCGAACUUGAGAUUUUGAAUGAGGAAGAAUAGAAAGAAGUACACUUCAUUUGAAACAGGACUUUUUCCGAUUCUAAACCGGGGCCAGUUGUCAACUCAAGAUGCCAAAUAUUUUCUACGGAAUUGGUAAUGCCUAUGAUGGUCAUCUAAUUUCAAGGCAACAUUUAUAUGGGGCAUACAACCAUCUCAGCUCUACAGAUUUUGCCACGAAGAGACAGAAUCGUUAGAUCACUUAUUUUUGUAUUGCCCAUAUAUACACUAUAUAUACAAAAUUAUGUGGACACCCAUUAGUGGAUUUGGCUAUUUCAGCCACAUUACAGCCUUAUUUCCCUCAUCAAUCAAUAUAAAGAAACACUUUAAUAAACAAUUAAUAUUCAUUACAUGUGACUAACUUCAAGCUUACAAUUAGUACAGUAGUUAAACCAAUAUCAGAUUGUUGAGGUUUCGAAAAGAUGUAAAAACUAGAGAAAUUUUACAAUCCUUUUUGUCUUCCUUUUAAAAAAAAUGUUUAUACUCAAAAGAUAGUACCUUGUUUGAAUUUCUAUUAUGAGGGUGUUGAGCGAGCUUAAUGCAUAAUAAUGUAUAGCAUUGCUGAAUGUAAUAUCUGUUUUCAAUUUUUUUCUAAAUUGACGUCCAGUAGUAAUCUGAGCUUGUAAAAUGAAAUCAAGGCACAGGCAUCUUUCCUAACGCCAAACUGGAUGUUUUGGUUUUUUUGGCCUGAAGGUACCAAUAACUGAGUAAAGGAAAUGUUACGGCAAGGACCAUAAGAACACACAAAAAUACUUUCAUGAAACUUGAGACAUUUCACCUAUGACAAUACUGGGAACAAAACAGUCAAAAAAAUGUAAAUUCCCCUUCUUCUAAUGCAAGUCUCUGUAACUAAUAUAUUACCAUGUGAUUAAAGAGAAGCGACCUUGUUUUGCCUGAUGAAAACAGUGUCUAAUUAGCAGUAAAACACUUGUUCCAGAGAGGAAGGACUUUUUGUAUCAACAAGGCAACAACAGGGAAGUUUCAAAAGGAAACUGAAGACAGCCGAAUCACACUGCCCCAGCUAGGUGGAAAGGCUUCCAUGUAGUUCAGAGAGGGCAUAUCAACAGGAACGGCCUGAUAAAUGCUCAAAGUAUUAACAUCCCAAAAUACUGUAUCUGUGACUAAAUGUGGUCCAGUUUCUGUUGACGAUAAUGCAUGUCUGUUGUUCUAUCAUGUGAAAGUCCCAUUCGAUUAGCGUUGCGUAUGUAUCAAGCUACACAUUUGAUAAAUUUGCACAGUCAUGGACUAAAUUGUUUUUUUUGUUUUUUCAAAUGAAGAGUUUACUUGUAUA